Long non-coding RNA from Nothoprocta perdicaria, 412 nucleotides. RefSeq lists it as uncharacterized. The record is from RefSeq and is a predicted model, not a curated record. NCBI's taxonomy places the organism in Eukaryota, Metazoa, Chordata, Aves, Tinamiformes, Tinamidae. The transcript has 2 exons.
GCUCCAUGUUCUGGAGGACCCUGGUGCUGUGUCUGCUCCGACCCCUGCACAGAAAAGCAAAUAUCAAAAUUGCUGUGGAAAAAAAAAACCCAACGCAUUCUGAUUCUGGAGGGCAUUUGUGGAACUGCAUGUGGACCAGGGCAGACACCACGGGACAGCACGAUGGAUAGGGAGCGGGAACGGCCCAGCAACAGGGUUGAGGAAAUUAUUUAAGAAAAUAACACCAACGUGUAACAACAACACCAGGGAAACAGGGAGUGCUGGGGGCAAAGUUAGGCUGUGGACGAGAUUUGAAGGACAUCAGCUUGAGCAAGGAUGUGGACCCAGAAUGUGUUGCCGCAGAAACAGGAUGAAAUGGAGUUGCCUGAAAAUCCGCCGUGUUCUCUCCCAUCCUUCAAGCCGUAACUGUUGC